Molecule: non-coding RNA, 174 nt
Filed under: Tumebacillus algifaecis
Lineage: Bacteria; Bacillati; Bacillota; Bacilli; Caryophanales; Alicyclobacillaceae
Source: RNAcentral
AUGAUAAACUACCACUGUAGUUAGAAGAGAAGGGAAAGUGGUGCAAUUCCACUGCAGCCCCCGCUACUGUAAACGGCGACGCGCUCACGAUAACCAUUGUCCAAUCGGAUGAGAAGGGGUGAGAAUUGCGGUAGACCCGUUAGCCAGGAAACCUGCUUCUAACCGUAGUCCUUU